UGCUCAACUUCUUUGUUGACCAAGAUCCA
This 29-nucleotide non-coding RNA is filed under the name Mus musculus (house mouse). Lineage: Eukaryota; Metazoa; Chordata; Mammalia; Rodentia; Muridae. The record is from RNAcentral.